This 106-nucleotide transfer RNA is filed under the name Candidatus Aenigmatarchaeota archaeon. RNAcentral's name for it is "tRNA-Gly". It matches the Rfam family "tRNA". Rfam says of the family: Transfer RNA (tRNA) molecules are approximately 80 nucleotides in length. Their secondary structure includes four short double-helical elements and three loops (D, anti-codon, and T loops). Further hydrogen bonds mediate the characteristic L-shaped molecular structure. tRNAs have two regions of fundamental functional importance: the anti-codon, which is responsible for specific mRNA codon recognition, and the 3' end, to which the tRNAs corresponding amino acid is attached (by aminoacyl-tRNA synthetases). tRNAs cope with the degeneracy of the genetic code in two manners: having more than one tRNA (with a specific anti-codon) for a particular amino acid; and 'wobble' base-pairing, i.e. permitting non-standard base-pairing at the 3rd anti-codon position. Lineage: Archaea; Nanobdellati; Candidatus Aenigmatarchaeota. The record is from RNAcentral.
GCGCCGAUAGUCUAGCCUGGCGCCUUCACUUCGCAAGAAGGACUUGCGGGCACUAGGACACGGGCUUCCCAAGCCUGUAACCCGGGUUCAAAUCCCGGUCGGCGCA